RNAcentral lists this ribosomal RNA (664 nucleotides) under uncultured bacterium. RNAcentral's name for it is "partial 16S ribosomal RNA". The record is from RNAcentral.
GUAUUCACCGCAGCAUGCUGAUCUCCGAUUACUAGCGAUUCCGACUUCACGUAGCCGAGUUGCAGACUACGAUCCGGACUACGAUCGGCUUUAAGGGAUUGGCUCCACCUCGCGGCUUGGCAACCCUCUGUACCGACCAUUGUAUGACGUGUGAAGCCCUACCCAUAAGGGCCAUGAGGACUUGACGUCAUCCCCACCUUCCUCCGGUUUGUCACCGGCAGUCUCACUAGAGUGCCCAACUAAAUGAUGGCAACUAGUGACAAGGGUUGCGCUCGUUGCGGGACUUAACCCAACAUCUCACGACACGAGCUGACGACAGCCAUGCAGCACCUGUGUUCUGGCUCCCGAAGGCACCCUCGGCUCUCACCAAGGUUCCAGACAUGUCAAGGGUAGGUAGGGUUUUUCGCGUUGCAUCGAAUUAAUCCACAUCAUCCACCGCUUGUGCGGGUCCCCGUCAAUUCCUUUGAGUUUUAACCUUGCGGCCGUACUCCCCAGGCGGUCGACUUCACGCGUUAGCUGCGUCACUCAGUGCAUUGCUGCUCCGAACGACUAGUCGACAUCGUUUAGGGCGUGGACUACCAGGGUAUCUAGUCCUGUUUGCUCCCCACGCUUUCGUGCAUGAGCGUCAGUACAGGCCCAGGGGGCUGCCUUCGCCAUCGGUGUU